CUUUAUCACUUUUCCAGCCCAGCUUUCUGGUUCUAGCCGUUGGACGGAGAAUUGAUAAGGGU
RNAcentral lists this microRNA precursor (62 nucleotides) under Ornithorhynchus anatinus (platypus). RNAcentral's name for it is "Oan-Mir-184_pre stem-loop". It matches the Rfam family "mir-184 microRNA precursor family", at positions 13 to 74 of the family's 86-position model. The record is from RNAcentral. Lineage: Eukaryota; Metazoa; Chordata; Mammalia; Monotremata; Ornithorhynchidae.